UACGUAGGCAGCGAGCGUUGUUCGGAGUUACUGGGCGUAAAGGGUGUGUAGGCGGUUGUUUAAGUUUGGUGUGAAAUCUCCCGGCUCAACUGGGAGGGUGCGCCGAAUACUGAGCGACUAGAGUGCGGGAGAGGAAAGUGGAAUUCCUGGUGUAGCGGUGAAAUGCGUAGAUAUCUGGAGGAACACCGGUGGCGAAGGCGGCGUUCUGGACUGCAACUGACACUGAUGAACGAAAGCCAGGGGAGCAAACGGG
This 253-nucleotide ribosomal RNA is filed under the name uncultured bacterium. RNAcentral's name for it is "partial 16S ribosomal RNA". It matches the Rfam family "Bacterial small subunit ribosomal RNA", at positions 524 to 776 of the family's 1533-position model. The record is from RNAcentral.